RNAcentral lists this ribosomal RNA (497 nucleotides) under uncultured bacterium. Its description in RNAcentral is "partial 16S ribosomal RNA". It matches the Rfam family "Bacterial small subunit ribosomal RNA", at positions 28 to 507 of the family's 1533-position model. The record is from RNAcentral.
GAUGAACGCUGGCGGCGUGCCUAAUACAUGCAAGUCGAGCGAACAGACGAGGAGCUUGCUCCUCUGACGUUAGCGGCGGACGGGUGAGUAACACGUGGAUAACCUACCUAUAAGACUGGGAUAACUUCGGGAAACCGGAGCUAAUACCGGAUAAUAUAUUGAACCGCAUGGUUCAAUAGUGAAAGACGGUUUUGCUGUCACUUAUAGAUGGAUCCGCGCCGCAUUAGCUAGUUGGUAAGGUAACGGCUUACCAAGGCAACGAUGCGUAGCCGACCUGAGAGGGUGAUCGCCCACACUGGAACUGAGACACGGUCCAGACUCCUACGGGAGGCAGCAUUAGGGAAUCUUCCGCAAUGGGCGAAAGCCUGACGGAGCAACGCCGCGUGAGUGAUGAAGGUCUUCGGAUCGUAAAACUCUGUUAUUAGGGAAGAACAAAUGUGUAAGUAACUAUGCACGUCUUGACGGUACCUAAUCAGAAAGCCACGGCUAACUACGUG